AUUCAGCUAACGAGUACCAAAUAGGAUGAAACGUGCGUCCUAAAU
This 45-nucleotide non-coding RNA is filed under the name Schistosoma bovis. RNAcentral also lists the same sequence under 1 other name. Lineage: Eukaryota; Metazoa; Platyhelminthes; Trematoda; Strigeidida; Schistosomatidae. The record is from RNAcentral.